AGAGUUUGAUNNUGGCUCAGAUUGAACGCUGGCGGCAGGCCUAACACAUGCAAGUCGAGCGGUAGCACAGAGAGCUUGCUCUCGGGUGACGAGCGGCGGACGGGUGAGUAAUGUCUGGGAAACUGCCUGAUGGAGGGGGAUAACUACUGGAAACGGUAGCUAAUACCGCAUAACGUCGCAAGACCAAAGUGGGGGACCUUCGGGCCUCAUGCCAUCAGAUGUGCCCAGAUGGGAUUAGCUAGUAGGUGGGGUAACGGCUCACCUAGGCGACGAUCCCUAGCUGGUCUGAGAGGAUGACCAGCCACACUGGAACUGAGACACGGUCCAGACUCCUACGGGAGGCAGCAGUGGGGAAUAUUGCACAAUGGGCGCAAGCCUGAUGCAGCCAUGCCGCGUGUGUGAAGAAGGCCUUCGGGUUGUAAAGCACUUUCAGCGGGGAGGAAGGCGAUGAGGUUAAUAACCUCAUCGAUUGACGUUACCCUGCAGAAGAAGCACCGGCUAACUCCGUGCCAGCAGCCGCGGUAAUACGGAGGGUGCAAGCGUUAAUCGGAAUUACUGGGCGUAAAGCGCACGCAGGCGGUCUGUCAAGUCGGAUGUGAAAUCCCCGGGCUCAACCUGGGAACUGCAUUCGAAACUGGCAGGCUAGAGUCUUGUAGAGGGGGGUAGAAUUCCAGGUGUAGCGGUGAAAUGCGUAGAGAUCUGGAGGAAUACCGGUGGCGAAGGCGGCCCCCUGGACAAAGACUGACGCUCAGGUGCGAAAGCGUGGGGAGCAAACAGGAUUAGAUACCCUGGUAGUCCACGCCGUAAACGAUGUCGAUUUGGAGGUUGUGCCCUUGAGGCGUGGCUUCCGGAGCUAACGCGUUAAAUCGACCGCCUGGGGAGUACGGCCGCAAGGUUAAAACUCAAAUGAAUUGACGGGGGCCCGCACAAGCGGUGGAGCAUGUGGUUUAAUUCGAUGCAACGCGAAGAACCUUACCUGGUCUUGACAUCCACAGAACUUUCCAGAGAUGGAUUGGUGCCUUCGGGAACUGUGAGACAGGUGCUGCAUGGCUGUCGUCAGCUCGUGUUGUGAAAUGUUGGGUUAAGUCCCGCAACGAGCGCAACCCUUAUCCUUUGUUGCCAGCGGUUAGGCCGGGAACUCAAAGGAGACUGCCAGUGAUAAACUGGAGGAAGGUGGGGAUGACGUCAAGUCAUCAUGGCCCUU
RNAcentral lists this ribosomal RNA (1204 nucleotides) under Klebsiella pneumoniae. RNAcentral's name for it is "bacterial SSU rRNA". It matches the Rfam family "Bacterial small subunit ribosomal RNA", at positions 8 to 1203 of the family's 1533-position model. Lineage: Bacteria; Pseudomonadati; Pseudomonadota; Gammaproteobacteria; Enterobacterales; Enterobacteriaceae. The record is from RNAcentral.